Molecule: ribosomal RNA, 427 nt
Filed under: uncultured bacterium
Lineage: Bacteria
Description: partial 16S ribosomal RNA
Rfam family: Bacterial small subunit ribosomal RNA
Source: RNAcentral
GUGGGGAAUAUUGGGCAAUGGGGGAAACCCUGACCCAGCGACGCCGCGUGAGGGAAGACGGCCUUCGGGUUGUAAACCUCUUUUGUACGGGAAGAAGGAAGUGACGGUACUGUACGAAUAAGUCCCGGCUAACUACGUGUCAGCAGCCGCGGUAAUACGUAGGGGACGAGCGUUGUCCGGAAUUACUGGGCGUAAAGGGCGCGCAGGCUGUGCUGCAAGUCAGCUGUGAAAUGUCUGGGCUUAACCCGGGCAUGCGGUUGAGACUGCAGUGCUGGAGUGCUGUAGAGGCAAGUGGAAUUCCCAGUGUAGCGGUGAAAUGCGUAGAUAUUGGGAAGAACACCGGUGGCGAAGGCGACUUGCUGGGCAGCAACUGACGCUGAGGCGCGAAAGCCAGGGGAGCAAACGGGAUUAGAAACCCCGGUAGUCC